Molecule: unclassified non-coding RNA, 332 nt
Filed under: Hevea brasiliensis (rubber tree)
Lineage: Eukaryota; Viridiplantae; Streptophyta; Magnoliopsida; Malpighiales; Euphorbiaceae
Source: RNAcentral
GGUGGCCGGAUCGGCCGGAUUUUGACCGGAGAAGCCGAAACGCCGCGCGCGCAGGGGAGGGCGUUUCGCGCGCGGUUUCCGGCCGUUCUGGGCGGCGGCCGGCUGGCUGGGGUGGCAGGGUGGCGGCGCCGGUCGGCUGGGGUGGCAGGGGGAGGUGGCUGGCCGACGGCAGGGGAGGGAGGAGAGAGAAAAGAGAGAGAGAAGGGGAGGAGGUCGGGACGCGCGGAAGAAAAGAGAAGAAGAAAAAGGAGCCGGUCCGAUUCGACCGGUAAGAUCCGGUCCGGAUCGAUUCGGCCGGUUCGAUUCGGAAUACAAAAUUUUGAAUUUUUACU